ACAAAGUACUCCCUGCGUCCCAUUUUAAGUGCACGUUUGAACGUCCGCCUUAUUUCAAAGUUUUUGUGAUUAAUACUUUUAUUUUUAUUAGAUGAUAAAACGUAAAUAAUACUUUAAGUAUGGCCUUUUUAUUUUUUAUGAAUUUUUUAAAUAAGAUAUACGGUCAAAUGUUGAACAUGAGAACCCAUAACUAUACUUAAU
RNAcentral lists this microRNA precursor (201 nucleotides) under Oryza meridionalis. Its description in RNAcentral is "MIR812 microRNA precursor family". It matches the Rfam family "MIR812 microRNA precursor family". The record is from Rfam by way of RNAcentral. Lineage: Eukaryota; Viridiplantae; Streptophyta; Magnoliopsida; Poales; Poaceae.